AUGGGUUUCCGGCCCCUGGGCUGGGUCGUGCUUUGUCUCCUGAGAGCAGUCCCCGUGGUAGCCAGGGUGACCCAAACCCCAAGACACCUCAUCACAGGGACUGGAAAGCGGUUGACAGUGCGUUGUUCUCAGGACAUGAACCAUGAUGCUUUGUACUGGUAUCGACAAGACCCAGGGGUGGGUCUGAAGCUGAUCUAUUAUUCGAGGAAUGUUGACUUUAUUGAAAAGGGAGACGUCCCCGACGGGUACGCUGUCUCCCGGAAGGAGGAGAGGAAUUUCCCCCUGACCCUGGAGUCCACCAGCACCAGUCAGAUGCCUCUGUAUCUCUGUGCCAGCAGUUGCUAUGGCGAGACCCUCUAUUUUGGGGAAGGGAGCCGGCUCACUGUUGUAGAGGAUCUGAAAAAGGUGAGCCCUCCCAAGGUCACAGUGUUCGAACCAUCAGAAGCAGAGAUCUCCCGGACCCUGAAGGCCACGCUCGUGUGCCUGGCCACAGGCUUCUACCCCGACCACGUGGAGCUGAGCUGGUGGGUGAACGGGAAGGAGGUGCGUGACGGGGUCAGCACGGACCCUGAGCCCUACAAGGAACAGUCCGGCGCGAAUGUGUCCAGCUACUGUCUGAGCAGCCGGCUGAGGGUCUCCGCCACCUUCUGGCACAACCCUCGGAACCACUUCCGCUGCCAGGUCCAGUUCCACGGGCUCGGGAAGGAUGACCAGUGGGACUACCCCGAGGCCAAACCCGUCACCCAGAACGUCAGUGCCGACACCUGGGGCAGAGCAGACUGUGGCUUCACUUCGGCGUCCUACCAGCAGGGGGUCCUGUCGGCCACCAUCCUCUAUGAGAUCCUGCUGGGGAAGGCCACCCUAUAUGCCAUCCUGGUCAUUGUCCUCGCGCUGAUGGCCAAGAUCAAGAGAAAGGAUUCCUGAAGCCAGCUCGGAGGAAGAGUCCUGAGCUUCCAGUCUGCCAUUGCCCCAAUAUGGAUCCUCCUUUUCCCACUUAUAGCCAGUGCUUCUGAAGAGCUGUUUUCAUCCCUCUGCUCACCCCAGUAGCUACCCCUUAUGUGCAUGCACACGCGGUCGCUCACGACUCAACUUGCCUUAACCCGGGGGGCCUCGCGUGACAAAAUUGACUGAAUCAAUAAAAAUGGCCUGUUCUGGCUUGACUCUG
This is a non-coding RNA of Prionailurus viverrinus (fishing cat), 1165 nucleotides long. The record is from the annotation of a RefSeq genome assembly. NCBI's taxonomy places the organism in Eukaryota, Metazoa, Chordata, Mammalia, Carnivora, Felidae.